UCCAAUUCAGCAAUCGCUUCAUCGAAAGCCUGAGAGUAGCAAUAACAAAAUAACAGGUAAGUAAAGUAUAAAUUUGAGAUCGAUGUUCUACAUUUGAUUAAUAGAAUUCAAAACGCAAAAUCAUCAUAAUCUUGUUAAAAAAUAUAUAAAAAUACAUAAUAAUCAGCCUAUAUAGUUCUAACCUGUUUUGCAAGAUUGCAGGCACGAUCAGGAGAGUUAAGAAUUUCAUAGUAAAAAACAGAGAAGUUGAGAGCAAGUCCAAGUCUAAUGGGAUGAGUUGGAGGAAGUUCCGCAUUUGCAAUAUCCUGUAAAAACAAUAAAAAAAAAAAAAAUAGAGGACCCAUUCAUUAGAACACAAACCAAACAAAAAUAUUUCAUAUAGUUUUACAAAUAUUUUUAAUUAAAAACAAAUAUUAAGAACAAUAGAGUAAAAAAGACAUGAAUAACAGUUCAAUAGAGUGAAUAAGUUAAAAUAAUAAUGAAUAUAAUAAUCAUGUAGAUUUGUAAACAAAACAGUAUUACUAUUAGGACAGUAGUAAGUGAGUGCGCAAAUGUAUAAAUCGAACAGAUCUGGAUCGCAAAAUGAAAAAAAUUAAAAAUAAAAAUAAAAAAAGGAAAAGGAAGAGUAAAAAACUGUUAACCUGAGCAGAUUUGUAAGCGGAGAGAGUGCUCUCUGCAGCCUCCUUACGCUCGGCUCCGGUCUUGAACUCGGCAAGGUACCUGUGGUAAUCUCCCUUCAUCUUG
This 744-nucleotide long non-coding RNA is filed under the name Cicer arietinum (chickpea). RNAcentral describes it as "long non-coding RNA (CARI_LNC001612)". Lineage: Eukaryota; Viridiplantae; Streptophyta; Magnoliopsida; Fabales; Fabaceae. The record is from RNAcentral.